Molecule: ribosomal RNA, 253 nt
Filed under: uncultured bacterium
Lineage: Bacteria
Description: partial 16S ribosomal RNA
Rfam family: Bacterial small subunit ribosomal RNA
Source: RNAcentral
GACAGAGGUCCCGAGCGUUAGGCGGAAUCACUGGGCUUAAAGCGUGUGUAGGCGGAUUGGUAAGUACCUUGUGAAAUCCCACGGCUUAACCGUGGAACUGCUUGGUAUACUGCUUAUCUUGGGCCACUUAGGGGCUACCGGAACAAACGGUGGAGCGGUGAAAUGCGUAGAUAUCAUUUGGAACGCCAAUGGUGAAAACAGGUAGCUGGGGCUGUGCUGACACUGAGACACGAAAGCCAGGGGAGCAAACGGG